AAACCAUGAUGGGGGCACUUGUGUAGGAGAUCCUUGAAUCUCUCAUGUGCUUCGAAAAGUGUCUCGGAGUCCCCUUGCCGUAAUCCAGAAAUCUCUUCCCUCAAUCU
This is a small nucleolar RNA of Dioscorea cayenensis subsp. rotundata (Guinea yam), 107 nucleotides long. Lineage: Eukaryota; Viridiplantae; Streptophyta; Magnoliopsida; Dioscoreales; Dioscoreaceae. The record is from RefSeq and is a predicted model, not a curated record.